RNAcentral lists this ribosomal RNA (313 nucleotides) under uncultured delta proteobacterium. Its description in RNAcentral is "bacterial SSU rRNA". It matches the Rfam family "Bacterial small subunit ribosomal RNA", at positions 536 to 847 of the family's 1533-position model. Lineage: Bacteria; Deltaproteobacteria. The record is from RNAcentral.
AAGCGUUGUUCGGAAUUAUUGGGCGUAAAGCGCGUGCAGGCGGUUUGUUAAGUCUGAUGUGAAAGCCCCGGGCUUACCCCGGGAAGUGCAUUGGAUACUGGCAGACUUGAAUGCGGGAGAGGGCAGCGGAAUUCCUGGUGUAGGAGUGAAAUCCGUAGAUAUUAGGAGGAACACCGGUGGCGAAGGCGGCUGCCUGGACCGAUAUUGACGCUGAGACGCGAAAGCGUGGGGAGCAAACAGGAUUAGAUACCCUGGUAGUCCACGCCGUAAACGAUGAGUACUAGGUGUUGCGGGUAUUGACCCCUGCAGUGCC